GACAGAGGGGGCAAGCGUUGCUCGGAAUUACUGGGCGUAAAGGGCGCGUAGGCGGGAUGGCAAGUCGGUCGUGAAAUGCCUCGGCUCAACUGAGGAUCGUCGAUCGAUACUGCCGUUCUUGAGGAUUGCAGAGGAGACUGGAAUUCCCGGUGUAGCGGUGAAAUGUGUAGAGAUCGGGAGGAACACCGGUGGCGAAGGCGGGUCUCUGGGCAGUAACUGACGCUGAGGAGCGAAAGCGUGGGGAGCGAACAGG
This 253-nucleotide ribosomal RNA is filed under the name uncultured bacterium. RNAcentral's name for it is "partial 16S ribosomal RNA". It matches the Rfam family "Bacterial small subunit ribosomal RNA", at positions 524 to 776 of the family's 1533-position model. The record is from RNAcentral.